Molecule: non-coding RNA, 83 nt
Organism: Omnitrophica WOR_2 bacterium SM23_72
Lineage: Bacteria; Pseudomonadati; Candidatus Omnitrophota
Source: Rfam
GGGCAAGUGGUGGAAUGGCAUACACGAUGGACUUAAAAUCCAUUGGCCGUAAGGCUGUGAGGGUCCGACUCCCUCCUUGCCCA